Molecule: ribosomal RNA, 497 nt
Filed under: uncultured bacterium
Lineage: Bacteria
Description: partial 16S ribosomal RNA
Rfam family: Bacterial small subunit ribosomal RNA
Source: RNAcentral
GAUGAACGCUGGCGGCGUGCCUAAUACAUGCAAGUCGAGCGAACGGACGAGAAGCUUGCUUCUCUGAUGUUAGCGGCGGACGGGUGAGUAACACGUGGAUAACCUACCUAUAAGACUGGGAUAACUUCGGGAAACCGGAGCUAAUACCGGAUAAUAUUUUGAACCGCAUGGUUCAAAAGUGAAAGACGGUCUUGCUGUCACUUAUAGAUGUAUCCGCGCUGCAUUAGCUAGUUGGUAAGGUAACGGCUUACCAAGGCAACGAUGCAUAGCCGACCUGAGAGGGUGUUCGGCCACACUGGAGCUGAGACACGGUCCAGGCUCCUACGGGAGGCAGCAGUAGGGAAUCUUCCGCAAUGGGCGAAAGCCUGACGGAGCAGCGCCGCGUGAGUGAUGAAGGUCUUCGGAUCGUAAAACUCUGUUAUUGGGGAAGAACAUAUGUGUAAGUAACUGUGCACUUCUUGACGGUACCUAGUCAGAAAGCCACGGCUAACUACGUG